GACGAACGCUGGCGGCGUGCCUAAUACAUGCAAGUAGAACGCUGAAGGAGGAGCUUGCUUCUCUGGAUGAGUUGCGAACGGGUGAGUAACGCGUAGGUAACCUGCCUGGUAGCGGGGGAUAACUAUUGGAAACGAUAGCUAAUACCGCAUAAUAGUAGAUGUUGCAUGACAUCUGCUUAAAAGGUGCAAUUGCAUCACUACCAGAUGGACCUGCGUUGUAUUAGCUAGUUGGUGGGGUAACGGCUCACCAAGGCGACGAUACAUAGCCGACCUGAGAGGGUGAUCGGCCACACUGGGACUGAGACACGGCCCAGACUCCUACGGGAGGCAGCAGUAGGGAAUCUUCGGCAAGGGACGGAAGUCUGACCGAGCAACGCCGCGGGAGUGAAGAAGGGUUUCGGAUCGUAAAGCUCUGUUGUAAGAGAAGAACGAGUGUGAGAGUGGAAAGUUCACACUGUGACGGUAUCUUACCAGAAAGGGACGGCUAACUACGUG
Molecule: ribosomal RNA, 495 nt
Filed under: uncultured bacterium
Lineage: Bacteria
Description: partial 16S ribosomal RNA
Rfam family: Bacterial small subunit ribosomal RNA
Source: RNAcentral